Molecule: ribosomal RNA, 254 nt
Filed under: uncultured bacterium
Lineage: Bacteria
Description: partial 16S ribosomal RNA
Rfam family: Bacterial small subunit ribosomal RNA
Source: RNAcentral
UACAGAGGGUGCUAGCGUUGUUCGGAAUCAUUGGGCGUAAAGGGCGUGUAGGCGGCACACAUAGUCAGGCGUGAAAUUCCUGGGCUUAACCUGGGGGCUGCGUUUGAUACAUGUGAGCUAGAGGAUGGAAGAGGCUCGUGGAAUUCCCAGUGUAGAGGUGAAAUUCGUAGAUAUCGGGAGGAACACCAGUGGCGAAGGCGGCGACCUGGACGGACACUGACGCUGAGACGCGAAAAGCGUGGGAAGCAGACAGG